Molecule: ribosomal RNA, 378 nt
Filed under: uncultured eukaryote
Lineage: Eukaryota
Description: partial 18S ribosomal RNA
Rfam family: Eukaryotic small subunit ribosomal RNA
Source: RNAcentral
CAAUAGCGUACAUUAAAGUUGUUGCAGUUAAAAAGCUCGUAGUUGGAUUUCGGGAUGGCCCGGCCGGUCUGCCGCAAGGUAUGUUACUGGCCGAGCUGUUCUUCUUCGCAAAGACUGUGUGUGCUCUUAACUGAGUGUGCUCAGGAUCUGUGACGUUUACUUUGAAAAAAUUAGAGUGUUCAAAGCAAGCCAGCGCUUGAAUACAUAAGCAUGGAAUAAUGGAAUAGGACUUUGGUUCUAUUUUGUUGGUUUCUGGAACCUUAGUAAUGAUUAAGAGAGACAGUUGGGGGCAUUCGUAUUUCGUUGUCAGAGGUGAAAUUCUUGGAUUUACGAAAGACGAACUACUGCGAAAGCAUUUGCCAAGAAUGUUUUCAUUAA